UAGGGAAUAUUCCACAAUGGGCGAAAGCCUGAUGGAGCGACACAGCGUGCAGGAUGACAGUCUUCGGAUUGUAAACUGCUGUUAUACAGAAAGAAAAGAUAAAGGAGUGGAAAGCCUUUAUUAUGACGGUACUGUAUCAGAAAGUGACGGCAAACUAUGUGCCAGCAGCCGCGGUAAUACAUAGGUCACAAGCGUUAUCCGGAAUUAUUGGGCGUAAAGCGUCCGUAGGUUGAUUGUUAAGUCUGAAGUUAAAGCCCGGUGCUCAACGCCGGUUCGCUUUAGAUACUGGCAAACUAGAGUUAUAGAGAGGUUAGUGGAAUUUCAUGUGAAGCGGUGGAAUGCGUAGAUAUAUGAAAGAACACCAAUGGCGAAGGCAGCUAACUGGCUAUAUACUGACACUGAGGGACGAAAGCGUGGGGAGCAAACA
RNAcentral lists this ribosomal RNA (427 nucleotides) under uncultured Mycoplasma sp. RNAcentral describes it as "bacterial SSU rRNA". It matches the Rfam family "Bacterial small subunit ribosomal RNA", at positions 355 to 774 of the family's 1533-position model. Lineage: Bacteria; Bacillati; Mycoplasmatota; Mollicutes; Mycoplasmatales; Mycoplasmataceae. The record is from RNAcentral.